CCUAUCCUAGGAGUGAAAUGUCGCAACCGACGGCGCUGGUGGCCGGAAAAGAGAAGAGAGGAUCCGGCCGAAACAGAGCAAAACAGGGGUUUACCUUGUUCAUGGAUUUUCCAACGAUCCCGACAGCCGGUGAGGGUCUAAAGCCAUGGGAAGAAAGAGAAGAGGGAGAGGAAGAAAGAUUGAACCCUUACCUAAACUCCGGUGGCCUCUUCGACCUUCGAUUUCCGACGAACACAAGAAAAGGGUGCCGCGGCUUCCACGG
RNAcentral lists this long non-coding RNA (262 nucleotides) under Elaeis guineensis (African oil palm). RNAcentral's name for it is "long non-coding RNA (EGUI_LNC018816)". Lineage: Eukaryota; Viridiplantae; Streptophyta; Magnoliopsida; Arecales; Arecaceae. The record is from RNAcentral.